CAUGCAAGUCGAGCGCCGUAGCAAUACGGAGCGGCAGACGGGUGAGUAACACGUGGGAACGUACCUUUUGGUUCGGAACAACACAGGGAAACUUGUGCUAAUACCGGAUAAGCCCUUACGGGGAAAGAUUUAUCGCCGAAAGAUCGGCCCGCGUCUGAUUAGCUAGUUGGUGAGGUAACGGCUCACCAAGGCGAAGAUCGGUAGCCGGCCUGAGAGGGCACACGGCCACACUGGCACUGAAACACGGGCCAGACUCCUACGGGAGGCAGCAGUGGGGAAUCUUGCACAAUGGGGGCAACCCUGAUGCAGCGACGCCACGUGAGCGAUGAAGCCCUUCGGGGUGUAAAGCUCUUUCGGCAGGAACGAUAAUGACGGUACCUGAAGAAGAAGCUGCGGCUAACUACGUGCCAGCAGCCGCGGUAAUACGUAGGCAGCGAGCGUUGUUCGGAGUUACUGGGCGUAAAGCGUGCGUAGGCGGUCUUGUAAGUCUGGUGUGAAAUCUCCCGGCUCAACUGGGAGGGUGCGCCGGAAACUGCAAGGCUGGAGUAUGGGAGAGGUAGGCGGAAUUCCUGGUGUAGCGGUGAAAUGCGUAGAUAUCANGAGGAACACCUGUGGUGUAGACGGCUUACUGGACCAUGACUGACGCUGA
RNAcentral lists this ribosomal RNA (649 nucleotides) under uncultured bacterium. RNAcentral describes it as "bacterial SSU rRNA". It matches the Rfam family "Bacterial small subunit ribosomal RNA", at positions 54 to 749 of the family's 1533-position model. The record is from RNAcentral.